RNAcentral lists this ribosomal RNA (406 nucleotides) under uncultured bacterium. Its description in RNAcentral is "partial 16S ribosomal RNA". It matches the Rfam family "Bacterial small subunit ribosomal RNA", at positions 30 to 526 of the family's 1533-position model. The record is from RNAcentral.
AUUGAACGCUGGCGGCAGGCCUAACACAUGCAAGUCGAGCGAGCGGCGGACGGGUGAGUAAUGUCUGGGGAUCUGCCCGAUAGAGGGGGAUAACUACUGGAAACGGUGGCUAAUACCGCAUACCAUCGGAUGUGCCCACAUGGGAUUAGCUAGUAGGUGGGGUAACGGCUCACCUAGGCGACGAUCCCUAGCUGGUCUGAGAGGAUGACCAGCCACACUGUAACUGAGACACGGCCCAGACUCCUACGGGAGGCAGCAGUGGGGAAUAUUGCACAAUGGGCGCAAGCCUGAUGCAGCCAUGCCGCGUGUAUGAAGAAGGCCUUCGGGUUGUAAAGUACUUUCAGUGGGGAGGCGUUACUGACAGAAGAAGCACCGGCUAACUCCGUGCCAGCAGCCGCGGUAAUUC